AGUUGUCUGUUGGGAAGGAAGGGGUGAAUGAUUUAGGUUUUCUAACUCAAAUAUUCGCCGACGUCCGGCAGUCAGAGCUACCCGGAUAUUCAGGAUCCCAGUGUACACUCGAGUCUCUCUCCGCAAUAUUGCACUGGAACCUGGAGCGAUUUAAAGGACGACGCCAUGCCAGCCCAAAAAUGGUGAAUGACAUAAUGAGGACCGGAAACCGCCUGCAUUCUUUCUUACGAGACGAGUACAAAUUGAGCGACCAGCCCGACGAUCGAAUCGCAAUGGACGACUUUCCGGUUGACGAAUUCAUUCGACUUUUCAACGUAUUUGGCCGUCCUUACGUCGAUGUCAAGCUGGGAGGGAAAGAAUACGUCUGUACAACGAGCCUGCGAGCUUUUGGAGAUGGCUUGCCGUCA
Dreissena polymorpha is the source of this 407-nucleotide long non-coding RNA. RefSeq lists it as uncharacterized. Lineage: Eukaryota; Metazoa; Mollusca; Bivalvia; Myida; Dreissenidae. The transcript is spliced from 3 exons. The record is from RefSeq and is a predicted model, not a curated record.